Molecule: long non-coding RNA, 2714 nt
Filed under: Homo sapiens (human)
Lineage: Eukaryota; Metazoa; Chordata; Mammalia; Primates; Hominidae
Description: HSALNT0390526
Source: RNAcentral
GGGAAAAUUGUCUUUACAACAAAUGAGUCUGGUAUUUACCACCUUAAAUGAUCAAACAAACUCAGCAUCAUUAAUAGUGGGACAUUAUGACAUUGUGUUUCUCCUACUAUGAUGCAGCGAGGAGCAAAGAAACACGUACAAAGUAGUCUCAUCAAAAAUGUUUAAUGAUAAUCUAAUCAGACCUUUAGAGCUCAAUAUCUGUUUAUGAAACUAUGAAGAAAUAACCAGAAAAUCCCAUAAGUGAUAUAUUCUACAAGACAAACAGCUCGGGCUCUUUAAAAACCAGUAUCAUGAGGCCAGGUAUGGUGGCUCACGCUUGUAAUCCCAGCACUUUGGGAGGCCGACGCAGGCCAAUCACUUGAGUUCAGGAGUUCGAGACUGGCCUAGCCAACAUGGUGAAACCCCGUCUCUACUAAAAAUGCAAAAAUUAGCCAGGUGUGGUGGUGGGCACCUAUAAUCCCAGCUCCUCAGAAGACUAAGGCAGGAGAAUGGCUUGAACCCUGGACGCAAAGGUUGCAGUGAGCCAAGAUCAUGCCACUGCACUCCAGCCUAGGCGACAGAGUGAAACUCCAUCUCGAAAAAAAAACAAAAAACAGUAUCAUGUGGCUUCUAAAUUGUUCUAGAUUUAAAGAGACUAAAGAGAUAUAUUUGGAGGAAAAAAAGAAGUGUCAUCUUCAAGACAAUUGGGAAAAUCUGAACACGAACUGGAUAUUAGAUGUAGGUGUGGCUUUACAACAAGAUUACAUCUUUGGGCCGGGCGUGGUGGCUCAGGCCUGUAAUCCCAGCACUUUGGGAGGCCAAGGCAGGCAGAUCAUCUGAGGUCAGGAAUUCGAGACCAGCCUAACCAACAUGGAGAAAUCCCGUCUCUACUAAAAAUACAAAAUUAGCCGGGCGUGGUGUUGCAUGCCUGUAAUCCCAGCUACUCAGGAAGGCUGAGGCAGGAGAAUAGCUUGAACCAGGGAGGCAGAGGUUGCGGUGAGUCGAGAUUGCACCACUGCACUCCAGCCUGGGCAACAGCCGUGAAACUUGGUCUCAAAAAAAAAUAAAUAAAUAAAUAAAAAGAUUACAUCUUUGGUUUUGGUAUCAGGGUAAGGCUGGCCUCAUAGAAUGAGUUUAAGAAGUAUUCCCUUCUCUUCAACUUUUUAGAAUAGUUUGAGUAGAAUUGCUAUUAGUUCUUCUUUAAAUGUUUGGUAGAAAUCAGCAAUGAAGCUAUCAGGUCCUGGGCUUUUUCUUUGAUGGGAGACUUUUUAUUAUUGCUUCAAUCUCGUUACUCACUAUUAUUGAUCUGUUCAGGUUUUCUAUUUCUUCAUGGUUCAAUCUUGGUAGACUACAUGUGUCCAGAAAGUUAUCCAUUUCUUCUAGGUUUUCCAACAAGACUGUAAGCUCUCUUCAGGCACAGACAUAUUUAAUUAUUUUCUAUUUAUUUGAAGCUCAUAGUGAAGUAUUCUGCUAUCAGCAGACUUAAAAAAUGCUAGUACCAGUAUUCUGUACCAAGAGAGCAGACCUCAACUAACUAGAUUAGCUUUUCAAUUUCUCACCAGAAUAACAGCAGUUUACUUGGAUAAACAAUUUAAAGUCAGAGCUAUCAAAAGGAGAUCAUAAAUCAUUUACAGGUUUACAGAAUACUAACAGAGAAACUAGCAUCUAAGAGUUAAAGGAAGAAAUUGGAAUAUAGGUUUUUUAUGUCUUCCUAGCAUUGUCAUGGAUUUGCUAUUAUCCAGACAUAUGACUUUAUUCUCAUGACAUUAUUUUUCAAACAAAAUCCUCCAUGACCCCUCCCCAAUCUGCAAAACAGUGAGGUAUUUAUACACAACUCUUCAGUGAAAUGAAGCUUAACAAACUACAUAAUGAGCUUUAAAAUCUUAGAUAAAAGACUGCACAAAUGAUCAAAAAUUUUGAUAAUAGUGUUGGUGAGAAAACAGGCAGACUCACACUGCUGGCAGGAAUAUAAAUUCAUACAACCUCUGUGGAAAGCAUUUAGUAAUACCUAACAACAUUACAAAUGCACAUCCAUUGAUCCAGCGCUUCCACUAGGAAUUUAAACCAACAGACACCCAUGUACACAGAAUAAGUACAUACAAGGAAUUAAUUGUAUCACUGGAAACAACCUAAAUGUCCAAUAAGUGUUGGCUGAAUGAUGGUACAUCUACACAAUGGAAUUAUCUGCCAUCUUUCAAAAAGGAAGAGGGACUGUAUUUACUACAUGGAAUGAUCACCAAGAUAAAUAAAGUGAGAAAAGCAAAGUGCAGAAUGAGCAUAGUGUCUUAUUGUGUAAAACAAACAAAAACAAAAAAUGUGAAGAAUAUAUAGGUGUAUAUGCUUGUAAAAGGAUAUACUGUCUCGGGAUGAAUAAACAAGACUGUUGCCUUUGGGAAGGGGAACUCAUGGAUAAAAAGAGGAUGGUAAGAAAAGAAAGACUUCACUCUCUGUGUACCUUUUGAAUUUUGUUUCAUAUGUAUGUACAUGUGUUAACCCAUUUUAAACAAUGAUUUUUUAAAAAAGGCUCUGCACCAGUACGAAUUAUUUAACAAUAUUCGUCUUAAUCUAAAAGCAUUGCACGCCAUCAAAAUUUUAAAUGAGGCUUCAGUGAAUUCAACUAGACAAAAUGUUUCUAGAAAAAAUCAGGCCGGGCACAGUGGCUCGCACCUGUAAUCCCAGCACUUUGGGAGGCCAAGGCGGGGGUGGAUCACUUGAGGUCAGGAGUUCGAGACCAG